This 448-nucleotide ribosomal RNA is filed under the name uncultured bacterium. RNAcentral describes it as "bacterial SSU rRNA". It matches the Rfam family "Bacterial small subunit ribosomal RNA", at positions 29 to 524 of the family's 1533-position model. The record is from RNAcentral.
AACGAACGCUGGCGGCAUGCCUAACACAUGCAAGUCGAACGAGACCUUCGGGUCUAGUGGCGCACGGGUGCGUAACGCGUGGGAAUCUGCCCUUAGGUUCGGAAUAACUCAGGGAAACUUGAGCUAAUACCGGAUGAUGACUUCGGUCCAAAGAUUUAUCGCCUAAGGAUGAGCCCGCGUAGGAUUAGCUAGUUGGUGAGGUAAAGGCUCACCAAGGCUACGAUCCUUAGCNGGUCUGAGAGGAUGAUCAGCCACACUGGGACUGAGACACGGCCCAGACUCCUACGGGAGGCAGCAGUGGGGAAUAUUGGACAAUGGGCGAAAGCCUGAUCCAGCAAUGCCGCGUGAGUGAUGAAGGCCUUAGGGUUGUAAAGCUCUUUUACCCGGGAUGAUAAUGACAGUACCGGAGAAUAAGCUCCGCUAACUCCGUGCCAGCCGCCGCAGUAAU